GUGCUUGCUUCAGCAGCACAUAUACUAAAACUGGAACGAUACAGAGAAGAUUUGCAUGGCCCCUGCGCAAGGAUGACACACAAAGUCAAAGUCAUGAAGCGUUCCAUAUUAAA
Otolemur garnettii (small-eared galago) is the source of this 113-nucleotide small nuclear RNA. The record is from Ensembl. NCBI's taxonomy places the organism in Eukaryota, Metazoa, Chordata, Mammalia, Primates, Galagidae.